Molecule: long non-coding RNA, 2806 nt
Organism: Columba livia (rock pigeon)
Lineage: Eukaryota; Metazoa; Chordata; Aves; Columbiformes; Columbidae
Exons: 6
Source: RefSeq, a predicted model, not a curated record
CACUAUGAUGUUAACUAAAGAUGGAAAUUUUUUGUAAGAACCUGCCUAUUCAUUCCCUACAUCAUGAUUUCCAGAUCCCCCACUCAGAUUUAUACUGCAGCUCUGAGGCUCUUCAGUGAAAUAUGCUUUAAGUCUUGCUCAUACCUCCCUGGAACUACAUACUGGUGAGCACAGUUGUGUGUGCUGCACAGCUUGGGUACCAGAGCAGAUGCUUCUGCACUGACUGUUCAUGUGGAAAACAGGAAAACCAGCUGGAUUAUACUGGCAAAUACCUCAGGAAAGCAGAACUAAUUGCUCCAAUUAUUACUGGAGAACGAGGAGCCAACUGCAAUCGCAUCUUGGUGAGCUCAUACAUUCUCACAGAAUGGGGCCAUCAGGUGCUGUCUGCUACUUGCCCCCCAUCAGCCUGGGGUUUCACAAUCAGUUUGCAUAGCUCCUGUACUCACUUUAUCCUGUUACGGUGAACAACGAAAUAUAUAAUAAGGAGUCACAAAAUUGAUAUUGUGUCUACAAUACUACUACUUCAAAGGAAUAACAGCAAAAUAGUUUUAAGAUUAUCAAAUCCAAUUAAGGAUUACCUUUUUGCAACUGGGAAGCACAACAUGUUUUAACCCAGAAAAAAACAUGAUGGAAAAGCUCAAUGAUUUUUAAAAAAUUGGCACCCCACAACCUGUGCUUACAUUGCCCUCCUGGAUUCUGGAAAUGAGACUGAAAUAUGAGUGUACAAUCAUUGCACCUUUUGGGGCAAAACUGGCAUAUCUUCCUCUGCAAAUAAGGACAAGCACACUGAAUUUUACCCAUUAGCAGGAAAAACGUCAAUGAAUUGUGAGAGCCUGGGAAGGGAUUACAGCACAAGAGAAGAUCUGUGAAUCCAGUCUGUCAGUUUAUUGGGAUAAUCUCUCCAAUUCCAUGGAAAUAAGCAAAAGAUCAGUGCCAAUUUGAACCAAUUGAGAAUCUGGCUCUUUAUUUGUGAUGAGGGGAUAAAUUGAUGAUGGUAUUUAGGUUUGAUGCACAGGUUCCUAUAGAUAGAAAACAUUUUUUAAGUGACUGAUGAGAAAGUUAUCAAGAGAUUUAACUGUACAUAGAUCAAAACUUUCCUUUCCACUGGCGGUUUAAAAAAUUAUCUAUGCUAAUGACUUUUGACAUAACAGCUGUGUUGGGAGAGGAAAAAGAAAUGGUUAAUGUCCCAAUUAGAAUUCCAAGAAAAAAAAAAAAAAGUGCAAUUAGGUUUUUGUCACAGUAGAAGAAAUGUUCAAUUAUGCUUAAGCAGACCAACUUGUAUGCAUACUUUUUAUUAGGCAACAACAAGACCAAAGCUGUACCAUUUUUCAACAGAUGUCUAAGUCCUCCAGUGGAAUGGAAGUGCACAUGUUUGUUGUUUUGUAAUGUUUUUUAGCACAAUUUUCAUCGUGGAUUUAUGCGCUGAUGUGGAAAGAUCAAGCAGAUUUCUUGAUUCAUGUUAAUAUUUGCAGCAAUUAAUGGAGGGGCAAAAUAAAUAAAUAUUGCAAUGAAUUAGUUUACAUGGCAAGAAGGAUUUGGGAUGUGGUUGGCUUCUUAACUAUGUCUUUCUGCUCACCUCCUUCAGGCUUGACUGGUCCAUCAGACAUCACUUUCCUGAGGGCUAGUUGACUUUGGUCUUUGUUGUCAUUGGCUGGUGGAGGCAGAUUGUCAGACUGAGUUCUUUGAAUAGGGAGGACUCCUGCUAUGCUGUGUCUGUGCUGCUUCCUGGCAUGAUUAGACUGACCGCUUUUAUGUGCUGCUGUGGCAGUGUGGGUGAAAUGGAAACCCAGAGUAUGUAUCCUCAGAUGGAACCAGCUUAAAUGUUAUUCAUGCAAACAGAAGUGGUUUUUUUUUCUGUAUUUAAGUAGUGUUUUCAAACACCAAAGAGACACCACAUGCACAGCAUUAAAGAGUAUUAAAACUGGCUGUUUCUUUAUUAAUGAUGGUGAAGACAAGGGAAAAAAUUUUUCCCAAGUUUUUGCAUUAUACCAUGUUAAGUUUAUGGCAUAUCAACAAAUCCUGAAGACAAACACAAUGAUUCCACAGUCAGAGAGUUUUAAUUUGCCAUCAACUAAACCCUCAGCUAGCAAUCAGAAACUACUCUGAAGUAUACUCUGGAGAGCAAAGUUUUAAUAUAUUAAUCUAUUUGAAGUUGUCAGAUGAAAUCUAUCUUGACUCUUAAUCAAUCCAUGGCACAAAAACUACUAGAAAAAUUUAACUGACUAUGGCACCUGACUUAGCUCUCACUUCCCUUCGACUUUAUGAACUCAUUAACGGUGUUGAAAUCUGAUGUUGUUAAUGGCUUUGUGUCUUUAAUGAUUUUGCAUUUAAUGUGUUUAAUGUUUUUGUCUGUUGCUGUUCUGCUUAACACUAAUGUGAUUUUAUCUGAGAUAUUAAGAAGGUUGCCUUGUAUUUCCUUUCAAAAAAAAAAAAAAAGAUAUUUACAGUCAUCUUUCAAAAAUAGAAAUCUCAGACAUAUAGUUAAAAAACCUUUUUCUUCAAUUAUAAAUCUUCUUUUGUGUAUAUAGUACUGUCCUUCCUGAUCACUACUUAUGGAUAUAUUUUGUUGUUAAUGUGCUCCAGCACUUGUGUGCAACUUGAAGAACUGGCAGCUGUAUCUAUGCAGGUUUUGAUUAUUUCAUUGGUAGUUAUUUAGUGACAUCAAAAUAUCACCACACAAAGAAAUUCUCUGUGAGUCAUGCACAACCAUGGAACAUCAUGGACCAUGAGUGAAGGGACUGAUGGAGAAACAGCCAGUUUCACUGCAGUCUAUAUAAAUUAAAAUAAAUAAAUUAAAAAAAAAAAA